This 505-nucleotide ribosomal RNA is filed under the name uncultured bacterium. RNAcentral describes it as "partial 16S ribosomal RNA". It matches the Rfam family "Bacterial small subunit ribosomal RNA", at positions 28 to 507 of the family's 1533-position model. The record is from RNAcentral.
GACGAACGCUGGCGGCGUGCCUAAUACAUGCAAGUAGAACGCACAGUUUAUAUGGUAGCUUGAUACACCAUAGACUGUGAGUUGCGAAUGGGUGAGUAGCGCGUAGGUAACCUGCCUGGUAGCGGGUGAUAACUAUUGGACACGUUAGCUAAUACCGCAUAAUAUUAAUUAUUGCAUGAUAAUUAAUUGAAAUGUGCAAUUGCACCACUACCAGAUGGUCCUGCGUUGUAUUAGCUAGUAGGUGAGGUAACGGCUCACCUAGGCGACGAUACAUAGCCGACCUGAGAGGGUGAUCGGCCACAUUGGGACUGAGACACGGCCCAAACUCCUACGGGAGGCAGCAGUAGGGAAUCUUCGGCAAUGGACGAAAGUCUGACCGAGCAACGCCGCGUGAGUGAAGAAGGUUUUCGGAUCGUAAAGCUCUGUUGUAAGAGAAGAACGGGUGUGAGAGUGGAAAGUUCACAAUGUGACGGUAUCUUACCAGAAAGGGACGGCUAACUACGUG